UAAUUAGUUUUUAGAGCAUAAUUUAACUAAAAAAAAAUAUGUAUCGUAGUAUUAUUUAGGUUUCAUUAAAAUUUUUUAUUGUCGCUGUGGUCUCUUUUCUUCCACAAGUCCACAACACUGUUUCACGCUUUAAUUUCUCGUUUUCGUCUGCUUUGGUUUCUGAAUUUAGUUGAUUUAGUUACUGAAAAAAAGGUCUCAAUCAAAAUCAAACCAGUCAAUUCAGUAAAAUAAUGAAAUAAAAAGAUAAUUUUCUCUAACGAUAAACCUUCACAAGAAUCCUAAUUACCAGAUUCACGAUUGAAAUGGAUGCAUUGAGAAAAAUUGUAAGACCCGUGUGCAGCAACCUGCAACAACUCUUUAUGUUUUCACCUGCUGUUUUCCCUGUGACAGUGUCAAGAACAUUUAGUGCAUUAUCAAUGAGAAUUCCCCAAACUCUGAAUGUGCAAAAUCAACUGUUAACUCCUACUGUUCCUUCACUAGUUCCUAGUUGUGGAUUCAAAGUUGUGGGGAAACCGAUGAAACGUUGCAAAGACUGCUACAAAGUGGUGAGACAGGGAAGGGUUCAUAUCAUUUGUAAAACUAAACCAAGGCAUAAACAAAUGUCAAUGAAGAAAGAUGAAGACAAAACCUGGAUACUUACAUCUGCAACAAUGGGGCCUAAGCGUCUUUGGUAGUUUUGUCAUCAUUAUGUACUAGUUAUCAAUACAAUUCUGCAGGAAACUAGAAA
Molecule: long non-coding RNA, 727 nt
Organism: Daphnia pulex (common water flea)
Lineage: Eukaryota; Metazoa; Arthropoda; Branchiopoda; Diplostraca; Daphniidae
Exons: 2
Source: RefSeq, a predicted model, not a curated record